UCCAUCCCUCCUUCGGGAGGGUGAAGACCUAGUGGCGAACGGGUGAGUAACACGUGAGCAACCUGUCCCGAAGACCGGGAUAACACCGGGAAACUGGUGCUAAUACCGGAUGCCCUCACCGGGCCGCAUGACCUGGUGAGGAAAUGAAUUUCGCUUCGGGAGGGGCUCGCGGGCUAUCAGCUUGUUGGUGAGGUAACGGCUCACCAAGGCAGCGACGGCUAGCUGGUCUGAGAGGACGACCAGCCACACUGGGACUGAGACACGGCCCAGACUCCUACGGGAGGCAGCAGUAGGGAAUCUUGCGCAAUGGGCGAAAGCCUGACGCAGCAACGCCGCGUGGGGGAUGAAGGCUCUCGGGUUGUAAACCCCUUUCAGCAGGGACGAAAUUGACGGUACCUGCAGAAGAAGCCCCGGCCAACUACGUGCCAGCAGCCGCGGUAAUACGUAGGGGGCGAGCGUUGUCCGGAUUCAUUGGGCGUAAAGAGCUCGUAGGCGGCUUGGCAAGUCGGAUGUGAAAACUCCAGGCUCAACCUGGAGCCGCCAUUCGAUACUGCCAUGGCUAGAGUCCGGUAGGGGAGUGUGGAAUUCCCGGUGUAGCGGUGAAAUGCGCAGAUAUCGGGAGGAACACCGAUGGCGAAGGCAGCACUCUGGGCCGGUACUGACGCUGAGGAGCGAAAGCGUGGGGAGCGAACAGGAUUAGAUACCCUGGUAGUCCACGCCGUAAACGUUGGGCACUAGGUGUGGGGCCUUAUCAACGGGUUCCGUGCCGCAGCUAACGCAAUAAGUGCCCCGCCUGGGGAGUACGGCCGCAAGGCUAAAACUC
RNAcentral lists this ribosomal RNA (823 nucleotides) under uncultured Actinomycetes bacterium. RNAcentral describes it as "bacterial SSU rRNA". It matches the Rfam family "Bacterial small subunit ribosomal RNA", at positions 68 to 902 of the family's 1533-position model. Lineage: Bacteria; Bacillati; Actinomycetota; Actinomycetes. The record is from RNAcentral.